UCGAGAAUUUUUCUCAAUGGGGGCAACCCUGAAGGAGCGACGCCGCGUGGAGGAUGAAGGCUUUCGGGUUGUAAACUCCUGUCAUUGGGGAACAAAGCCCUCGCAAGAGGGCCUGAUAGUACCCGAAGAGGAAGGGACGGCUAACUCUGUGCCAGCAGCCGCGGUAAUACAGAGGUCUCAAGCGUUGUUCGGAUUCAUUGGGCGUAAAGGGCGCGUAGGCGGCGGGGCAAGUCGGGUGUGAAAUGUCGGGGCUCAACCCCGAAAGGGCAUUCGAUACUGCUUUGCUUUAGAGGGCUGGAGAGGAGAUCGGAAUUCACGGUGUAGCAGUGAAAUGCGUAGAGAUCGUGAGGAAGACCAGUGGCGAAGGCGGAUCUCUGGACAGUGCCUGACGCUGAGGCGCGAAGGCUAGGGGAGCAAACGGGAUUAGAUACC
This 432-nucleotide ribosomal RNA is filed under the name uncultured bacterium. Its description in RNAcentral is "bacterial SSU rRNA". It matches the Rfam family "Bacterial small subunit ribosomal RNA", at positions 355 to 786 of the family's 1533-position model. The record is from RNAcentral.